AAAGUUUUAAGUUAAAAUCAAACUAUUAACCUUCAAAGUUAAAAAUAUGCACCCUAAGCAUAAGCUUUA
RNAcentral lists this transfer RNA (69 nucleotides) under Scoparipes salvazai. Its description in RNAcentral is "tRNA-Trp". Lineage: Eukaryota; Metazoa; Arthropoda; Insecta; Hemiptera; Cydnidae. The record is from RNAcentral.